This 329-nucleotide RNase P RNA is filed under the name candidate division TA06 bacterium. RNAcentral describes it as "RNase P RNA component class A". It matches the Rfam family "Bacterial RNase P class A". From Rfam's summary of the family: Ribonuclease P (RNase P) is a ubiquitous endoribonuclease, found in archaea, bacteria and eukarya as well as chloroplasts and mitochondria. Its best characterised activity is the generation of mature 5'-ends of tRNAs by cleaving the 5'-leader elements of precursor-tRNAs. The record is from RNAcentral.
AGAGCAGGACAGACGGUCGCUCCCUUCGGGGAGAGGAAAGUCCGAGCUCCACAGGGUACGGUGCCUGUCGCAAGGCAGGAGGGAGUGAUCCCAUGGAAAGUGCCACAGAAAAGACACAGCCGAUGGCCCGAAUAUCUGAAGGCACAGGCAAAGGUGAAAAGGUGCGGUAAGAGCGCACCAGAUUCAGCGGUAACGCUGGGUCUUGGUAAACCCCUCCGGGAGCAAGGCCAAACAGUAGGGAGAAGUGACCCGCUUCGCUAUCACCCUGGGUAGGCCGCGCAGAUAGAUGACCGUCGAAUACAGAACUCGGCUUAUGUCUUGCUCUGCAU